UCUGAGGCUUGAAUUGCCAGAGGGUAGGGAGACCCCACAAAAAGAAAAAAGAAAAGCACAGGGGAGGGAGGGAGAGUGUGAAAUGGUGAAAUAGCGAAAGAGAGAAAGAAAAACACAGACAGCGAUUGGUCAAUUGAAAGAUCGCGGAUAUUUGCCGGAUCACAGUUUUAUCAUCCUUUAGGUCAGUGGUUCUCAGACUGGGGAGGGAACAGAGCCGCUGCAGGGAUGUGUGGAAGAUAUGGAGUGGAACAAAUGGACGUCCUGACUGUGGCAGAACACGGCAGCGUGGUGUACAAGCCUAAAACAACAGGCCAAAAUAUUACAAAUAGGCUACGGUGGUUGAACUUGAGAAUGCAUUGAGUAUUAAAGACGAGGCAGCUGAUGUAAUCCACAGCAACUGUUACACAACAUCGCAAUUUCCCUCCAAUAUACAAGUCACACUAAACAUCCCAUUCAGAGGCUGUUUAACAAGCCAGUGAAUGUGAAUUCAGAGACAAGGCUUUAGAGACCCCCAGUGGAUAACCAGAGAACUGAAUGUGCGCAGGUUAACCUUUGCAUUAUUAUUAUCAUCUAUCAAGAAGAGGAAGAUCGGGGAGAUCAAAUGACUGUUGCAUUAUGUUUUGCCAAAGUCAAAAUGUCAAAAUAAAUGUUAAAUUCCUGUUCAGCUGUCAUUUAU
Long non-coding RNA from Morone saxatilis (striped sea-bass), 676 nucleotides. RefSeq lists it as uncharacterized. The transcript has 3 exons. The record is from RefSeq and is a predicted model, not a curated record. NCBI's taxonomy places the organism in Eukaryota, Metazoa, Chordata, Actinopteri, Moronidae.